GAUGAACGCUGGCGGCGUGCUUAACACAUGCAAGUCGAACGAUGAAGCCCAGCUUGCUGGGUGGGUUAGUGGCGAACGGGUGAGUAACACGUGAGUAACCUGUCCUUAACUCUGGGAUAAGCCUUGGAAACUGGGUCUAAUACCGGAUAGGAGCGUCCACCGCACGGUGGGUGUUGGAAAGAUUUAUCGGUUUUGGAUGGACUCGCGGCCUAUCAGCUUGUUGGUGUGGUAAUGGCUCACCAAGGCGACGACGGGUAGCCGGCCUGAGAGGGUGACCGGCCACACUGGGACUGAGACACGGCCCAGACUCCUACGGGAGGCAGCAGUGGGGAAUAUUGCACAAUGGGCGGAAGCCUGAUGCAGCGACGCCGCGUGAGGGAUGACGGCCUUCGGGUUGUAAACCUCUUUCAGUAGGGAAGAAGCGAGAGUGACGGUACCUGCAGAAGAAGCACCGGCUAACUACGUG
This 466-nucleotide ribosomal RNA is filed under the name uncultured bacterium. Its description in RNAcentral is "partial 16S ribosomal RNA". It matches the Rfam family "Bacterial small subunit ribosomal RNA", at positions 28 to 507 of the family's 1533-position model. The record is from RNAcentral.